UACGUAGGGGGCAAGCGUUAUCCGGAUUUACUGGGUGUAAAGGGAGCGCAGGCGGUGCGGCAAGUCUGAAGUGAAAACCCCAGGCUCAACUUGGGGAUUGCUUUGGAAACUGUCGGACUAGAGUGUGGGAGAGGCAGGCGGAAUUCCUAGUGUAGCGGUGAAAUGCGUAGAUAUUAGGAGGAACACCAGUGGCGAAGGCGGCCUGCUGGACCAAGACUGACGCUGAGGCUCGAAAGCGUGGGGAGCAAACAGGAUUAGAUACCCCCAGUAGU
This 272-nucleotide ribosomal RNA is filed under the name uncultured bacterium. RNAcentral's name for it is "partial 16S ribosomal RNA". It matches the Rfam family "Bacterial small subunit ribosomal RNA", at positions 524 to 794 of the family's 1533-position model. The record is from RNAcentral.